Poecilia latipinna (sailfin molly) is the source of this 3385-nucleotide long non-coding RNA. RefSeq lists it as uncharacterized. The transcript has 3 exons. NCBI's taxonomy places the organism in Eukaryota, Metazoa, Chordata, Actinopteri, Cyprinodontiformes, Poeciliidae. The record is from RefSeq and is a predicted model, not a curated record.
GGCUGUUUCUUUAAAACAUCUAUGCAAUAAUUAAUAAUUAUAUUAAACACUGUACAUGGUUACUACAUUACACAAACAUAAUUAUCACAGUUAACAAUUUAAGUCAUUGAUAGAGAAAAUGUAUUUACAAAAGGCAUAUCAAUUUUAUUUCAACAUUAUGUACUCAGGGUUUACAACUUAAGAAGACAUCCAUGUUGGGUCCUUGGCGGCUGCCAGUCUGCAGUGAACUGGUGGAUGACAGAGGCAAUGCUAUACUGUAGUGAGCAGAUUGAAGCAGAAGUCCCACCAUGUGAUCCACAGGGCUUUAGCUGAGCACAAACUUCAUGCACUUUGUUUCCACAGGCACCACAGCAGAAUCAAGUGUAACCUGUUAAUAUGUAUGUUAAAGGUAAGCUAAAGCUGAGCAUAUCUGGUCCAGGUGACGCACAGGUCUUAUGACGUAAAGUAUUUGAAUGUAGGAUUUCAUUUUUUUAGUCUUAAAGUUUAAUUAUGAUCCAAAUGAUGCAUUUCAAUUAAAAUAAGUCAUUAACAGAUUAUACAAAGGAAUUAUACACUAUAUAACUGGUUAAUAAUAGUUAUAUAAUGGAUAAAAAAUAACGUACUAUAUAUAGGCAUAAUUCUAUAUACUACACACAUCCUUCUUUUCAUUUAAAUAAAGACCCGGACUAAAAAUUAACUUUUCACCCCGCAUCGUGAUGCUCGUAAAUUAAGGAAGCAUAACCUAUCCUUAAUGGCUUUUCUUUUUUUUUGUUUUUGCUUUUGUUUUUUCUUAGAAGAACUUACCUGCGAUCCAACAAAAUGAUUAGGCCUACAUUCAAGGACUCUGUUCAGGCGGUCAUUGACGUCAAUCUGUGACGUGGGAUUCGGGGUUUGAGUUUAAAAUCCGAGGAUCACGUCACCAAUGACCAGCUGAGCCAAUCAGGUGCAGUUGACGCACAGGCCUUAUUACCAACAGUAUUUGAAUGUGUUCUUUCGUUUUUUCAUCUUGAAUUUUAAUUAUUUUCAAAGCGAAGCAUCUCAAUUAAAAUAAGUCAUUAAAAGCUUAUACAUUAAAUGAGUAUGUAGUUAUAUAUAUCAUAAACUAGUAGAAUAUUUUCUUUUUGUUUUUACAAAUAUUGACAAGGCAACAAAAAGACAAAGUGGCUAAAUUGUCACAGAUGACCUGCAUUCAAAGACCGUAAAUAAAUACUGUGAUUCAGAUUUAAAUAUCUAUUGCUAUAUAUCUACAUCAUAUUUCUAUUUCACAUGUCAUGUGACUAUUAAAGGUUUAGUCACAUGACUCAGAUUACCGUCAGUACAAACAAUAACCUGCUCUUACAGGCCCAGCCUUUCUCCACUGCCCCCUCUCUUCCCUAGGGGGCAGUAGAGAGCAACAUGAAGGCGCUGCUCGGAAGAAGAGCGAGAAAAGUGUCCGGUUGUUGUGGGGAGCGCAGCGUGUUAGUUUUAGGGAAGCCAGCUGUUCGUUGUACUUGUUCAAAAGAGGAAUAAAGUUGUUAAAGCAUUUAUCUGCCUCCUCCUUGCUUUUGCCCGCCAGCGGAGCAGAAACGAUAGGAGCUUGUUACCAGCGAACGAGCCGAAAUAGAGACCAGCCCGUUUAAAACCAGCCUCUGAUUGGACUCUGAGCCAAUCAGAGUCCACACAUCCUCCUUUUCAUACAGGUCUUUAAAGACCCGAAAUAAAAAUGAUCUUUUCAUCCCGCAUCGUGAUGCUCGACCUAAGGAUAACCUAUUUUUAAUGGCUUUUUUUCUUUUUUUUUCUUUUAAGUAUUUACUUGCAAGACAAAGAAAAUGAUUAGUGACCAAAUGAUCGCAGAAGGCCUACAUUCAAGGACUCUGUUCAGGCGGUCAGUGCCUUGUUGUUUCUCCCCAGGUAAAAUAAAUAAAAACGAUGAACUGAUUUGUUUUCUAUCACUAGAGUCAAGGGUUCCUUUUCAGGAUUUUGAAUUGGUCCAUAUUGGAUGUAAAAAUGAAUUAAUUAACAACUAAAUCUGAUCAGAGUUCAAAACCUGGAAUUUGGAUCAAAUUGAUGAAUGAAAGAUGAAACCAAAUCUGCCCUGGUUGUGAAUGGAUGAAAGGUUUUCUCUUGUUUAAAACCAGGAUCCUGGUUCCAAUGUAGGUUGGAACCAAAACAAAUGUGGACCUAAAAUGUUCUUUUCUCUCCCAUCAUCCACCAAAGACCAAGUUCUGAUCCAGAACCUGAGCCCAGUUGUUUGUCCCUGAGGAUCAACCAGGCAGCAGGAUGGAAAUCCCACCCAGACCUGAAGUCAGAUCCUCAGUUAGACUUUAACCAACAAGAGCAAAAUGUCAACCAAAAGCAGAAACAUUUGUGGAGCGAAAAACAGAAAGAGAAAAAUUAAACCGUAUUCUGACUUAAAACAAGUUUAACAACAAUCCUCUAAAAUACCAUUUUCUUGAUUGACAAAUACAUAAAAAUAUUGAACAUUUAUCAUAUUUAAAUGUAUUAAAUUUAAAAGACAUCUGCAUUGUUGUGUUUUUUUAAUAAAUUGUUCCUCCACAGAGUGAACCAGCAGAGCUCAGAGGUUCCCAACGGUCCGUCUGCACAGCAGCACCAAACACAGCUGGACUCCAUAUUUACGGAGCUGGAGCCAAACUUGGUCCUUUUUAUAAAGAACCAGCUGAAGAAGAUCCAGAAGGUUUUGAAUCCAUGUUACCCAGAAUGCUCAGAGUCAGAAGGAGGAUGAGGAGGUGGUUGAUGAUGAAGAGCAGAAGAGGAGGAGCAGCACAGAAGCUUUGCUGAAGAUCGUAGCUUUUCUUCCAGAGGAAGAUGAAUCAGGAGGAACUGGCCGAGCCUCUGCAGAGCAGGAAGAAAAGGAUUCAAAUCUCAAUUUUCAACCAAAUAACUGGAAAACAAUUAAAUAAAAUGGUUGAUGCAACACGUUUAGUAAAAACAAACUGCCUCAAUAUUUAUUAACUGAGACUUAAUGACUUUAUUGCAUUAAUGUCUUCCAGUCAUGAAUCUCAGCAGUUCAUGGAAAAGGUUCACCACAAAAUCAGUUCAAAAGCUCAGAUCAACUGAACAGGAAGUUUCUGUUGUUACUAAAUAAACCUAAAUUAUUUAGUAAACCUAAAUAAACAAAGUCAAAAUGAAAACUUAAAUAUAUUUUAAUUUCUUUGUUGAUCCUAAUACAAAAAGCUAGACAGCAUGAAGGAUUAAAAUAAAAGGUGCAGUUAUUAUAUUUGUACAAAGAGCAUUAUUAAAAUAUUUAUUAACCAAAUAACCCAUAUUAGGUUAGAAGAAAUAUAAAAACAUAAACCAAUCAGUACAUUAUCUCAGUGAUUCUCUGAGGUCUGAAUAAGUCAAUAUAAUCUCAGUAAAGAGCCUGAUGUGACGCAUCGAGUCCUAAAGUUCUUUAGAAAACUUAAAA